This 483-nucleotide ribosomal RNA is filed under the name uncultured bacterium. RNAcentral's name for it is "partial 16S ribosomal RNA". It matches the Rfam family "Bacterial small subunit ribosomal RNA", at positions 29 to 506 of the family's 1533-position model. The record is from RNAcentral.
AUUGAACGCUGGCGGCAGGCCUAACACAUGCAAGUCGAGCGGAUGAGGGGAGCUUGCUCCUGGAUUCAGCGGCGGACGGGUGAGUAAUGCCUAGGAAUCUGCCUGGUAGUGGGGGAUAACGUCCGGAAACGGGCGCUAAUACCGCAUACGUCCUGAGGGAGAAAGUGGGGGAUCUUCGGACCUCACGCUAUCAGAUGAGCCUAGGUCGGAUUAGCUAGUUGGUGGGGUAAAGGCCUACCAAGGCGACGAUCCGUAACUGGUCUGAGAGGAUGAUCAGUCACAAGGGAAGUGAGACAGGGUCCGGACUCCUAGGGGGGGGAGGAGUGGGAAAUUUGGGAAAAGGGGGGAAAGCCUGACCAAGCCAAGCCGGGUGUGUGAAGAAGGUUUUGGGGUUGUAAAACACUUUAAGUUGGGGGAAGGGGAAGAAAGUUAAAACCUGGCUGUUUGGGCGUUACCAAAAAAAAAAGCACCGGUAAAUUGGGU